This 602-nucleotide small RNA is filed under the name Pan troglodytes (chimpanzee). Its description in RNAcentral is "processed transcript". The record is from RNAcentral. Lineage: Eukaryota; Metazoa; Chordata; Mammalia; Primates; Hominidae.
UGUAGAUGAAUUGGAAUACCGACAGUGAGCAGGGCAGGCAGACUCAACUAAGCCCGGACCUGUGGUGGCACACUGGGCAGGACCCUGCUUCAUCUCGGGUGGAAGCUGGAACGCAGUCCCAAGUGUCAAUGGCAGAACACAGAUACCUGAAUCCAGUUCCACCUUUCCUGUGUAUCCUCUUCCACUUAUCUUACUUCCCCUUCAUGUUGAACCAACGUUAAUAGGUGCAAGGCACGAGAUGAGUUCACAAGCAAUCAGUGCUGGAAGGAUGUGCAAAAUAAAAGUUAAGAGAAGCUGAGGAUAUAGAAGGCAUCCUGAAAGUAAAACAGCUGAGGACCACAAAGCAUAUCAUGGAAAAUCUGUUAAGCAGGGGAGGUCAGGUAGGAGAGGAAAGAAUAGUCCCUCCCAAAGGAAGCAGUUAAAUAAGUCUGUGGGAGGUCAGUGGUAAAAGGAAGUGGGAAUGAAGUGAACAGAGAGUGCAGCUAGGCCUUCCCUUAGGAGAUAAGCUACUGAGUGUCUUUUAAGCCAGACUAUAUUAACAGGGAAGGGAAGUGGGAGGUCCAUUGGCCUUUCUUUGUGAACUAUGAGCAUAAACACAAACC